Cyprinus carpio carpio is the source of this 587-nucleotide long non-coding RNA. NCBI's taxonomy places the organism in Eukaryota, Metazoa, Chordata, Actinopteri, Cypriniformes, Cyprinidae. The record is from Ensembl.
AUAAUGCUCUUAGGUCAGGACCGUUACCUGUUACAGAUGAGGGGGCAUGUGUUUGUGUUACUGGACUUUAGGAUGUGAAGGCCAACUGUAUUUUUCCCCCGUUUCCUCUUCCUCUCUUCUCCCUUAUGGCUCACAUCAGGUAUAUAGUCCAUGGGAAAAGGAAUAGAGUGAGAUGAAAGGGCGCCUAGUUCCCAUAAGAGCUGUUCCGAUUCACAACAAUCCAUAACCAGCUUAACCAGUUCAGAAUGAAGGAAGUUCUGCGCUGACAUUGUGGAAAAAGCUGUAGUAAGAGCCAGAUUGCUGGAGAAGCGAGAUUGGUGAACAGAGGAAGUAAUAAUAGCGUGUGUCCUGACUGAUAGGGUACUGGACCCUCUUGUAGUUUCAGCAGUGACACGGUGAAACCGUAUGACAGCUUCAUUGCCUGUCCUGAGAACAAAGAAGUAUUUUAGACCCAAGAAUGCUUUGUUGUUCACUCUGAACCCCCUUUUAAGCAAACAUUCUUAUCUCAGAUCUUGAUAAGAAGGCAAGGCCGCCACCAACUUCCCUCUUCUGACAUCACAGUUUGUAUGGCCGACUGUCCAGCAAGG